GAUCAUGGCUCAGGAUAAACGCUGGCGGCGCACAUAAGACAUGCAAGUCGAACGGAAGUCGUUGUAAUGAUGUUGACAUGGACAGAGAACUUGUUCGAAGAAAAUGAAGAUUGACUUACAACAAUGGCUUUAGUGGCGGACUGGUGAGUAACACGUAAGCAACCUGCCUAUCAGAGGGGAACAACAGUUAGAAAUGACUGCUAAUACCGCAUAUGCCUUAGUAACAC
Molecule: ribosomal RNA, 227 nt
Filed under: uncultured bacterium
Lineage: Bacteria
Description: partial 16S ribosomal RNA
Rfam family: Bacterial small subunit ribosomal RNA
Source: RNAcentral